CCGGCCUCCACCCGCGCCUCCGCCCGUCACGCGCAAGCAAGUGGCGGGUUUCCUCUGGAGUGUUCUCUCGGUUCUCUACUUUAAACUGAAAUAGCUGAGGUUUCAUUUGCAGACUUGCCCUGUCUCACGAAGUUCAUGAAUCUCUGAACACUAAAGCCUUACAUAGGGAGAGUGCUGUGAGAAUACUAGAGGAAGGCAGUUUCUACUGUUAAGAACGCUUAACGGGUGUUGGGUUUUUUACAAAUUGAAGGCAUGGCCAGCAAAAAGAUUACAACUCACUUGAUUGCCAUACCCUUUUAUUAUGGAGGUCUGGAGCCAAACCCACAAUAUCUCUGAGCCCUGCUUGCUCCAGAGAUAACAAAGUGGUCCCGAAAUACUGGAAGCUGUGUUGUUGCUAAACCUGGACUCAAAUGGCACUGGUUCAUUAGGACGACUUCUGUGCACAUUUAGAAGGUGUCGGCAUCCAAGAGGAGCACAAGGUGGAUAACAAUACACCUCGCACACAGCCACCUCGCAUACACCUGACCAGGGGCUAACUCAUGUCCUCUCAAAUCUAAGUUUGGAGACAUUUGCUUUCAGGGAUAGACCUUGACUGCUUGGCUUUUCUUAAACUGGAGAAUUCCAAGGACUGGAAGCAUAUGGAUGAGGAUGUAACAGAAGAGUUGUAAGCACUCACAAAAUGUGAACUAGUACUUUCAGGAGAGUUCCAUCUAAACACCCUCACCCCCACCCACCCAUCCACCCAUUUCCUCUGGGAACAGGAAAUGACUGUAGUGCUGGGCAAUAAGGCUAAAGAAAGGUCUUCCACCCAACCACCGCUGCCCAUUAGAUAUUGAUAAAGCAGGGGCUGUAAGUGUCUCAUCUGGGCAGCUGGCAUGCCAAAUAGCCACCACUGUUAGGCUUAGUUUAAUAUUCCUUCCUUCACCUACUCCUAUACCCCAUUUUACUUUUAGAACUAUGUGAUUAGACCUACUAUGGAGAAUCCUCUUGCUGUGCUGAAUACUAGUAUCAGAACAGUUUCUAAGCCAAGGCAGAAGCAUCCAACAACAGGGGCUGGAGAGAGGGCAUAAGAUAGGAAGGUGACAAACAGCCUCCAAGCAGAUCCCCACCAUCUCUCACUUCCCACUAGAUGUUUUUUUUUUAAUAAUUUUAAAAAAAUUGAUUUGAGAGAAAGAAACAUUGCUUUGUUGUUCUGUUAUGUAUUCAUUG
Phyllostomus discolor (pale spear-nosed bat) is the source of this 1209-nucleotide long non-coding RNA. RefSeq lists it as uncharacterized. The record is from RefSeq and is a predicted model, not a curated record. Lineage: Eukaryota; Metazoa; Chordata; Mammalia; Chiroptera; Phyllostomidae. The transcript is spliced from 3 exons.